UAGGAGUCAUCCACAAUCCCGUCGGCCACCGUUGCAUCCUAAAUAAACCCUCCUAUGGUGACGGAGCCAGUCAGAGAGGCUGGGAGUGGAGACGAGAUUUGUCCACGUCGGCACAGCUGCUGCUGCUGUAACAUGGAUCCCGCUGCACUGGAACCGUCCCUCUACACUGUCAAGGCUCUCAUCAUCUUGGACAACGAUGGAGAACGCCUCUUCGCCAAGUAUUACGAUGGGACCUACCCCUCCACGAAGGAACAAAAGAGUUUUGAGAAGAAUAUUUUCAGCAAGACUCACAAGAACGACAGUGAGAUAGCGUUCCUGGAGGGGCUGACUGUCAUCUACAAGAAUUGUGUCGAUCUGUACUUCUACAUUGUAGGGAGUCCACAUGAGAAUGAGCUCAUGCUCAUGUCCGUGCUCAACUGCCUGUUUGAGUCUGUGAGUCAGAUGUUACGGAAGAAUGUGGAGAAGAAGUCUCUGAUGGAUAACAUGGACGGGGUGUUGUUGAUCACGGAUGAGAUUGUAGAUGGAGGGGUGAUUUUGGAAAGUGAUCCACACCAGGUGAUUCAGAAAGUAAACUUCCGGACUGUGUCAGAAGCAGCUUACGGCUUCGUCCUCUUUGACUAUCUGACAAGCAGCAGCAGCCCUGACAGUCGACCUCUCAACUGAGGAAGGGGAGUGCGCAGGUUGAUGACACACCUUUAACUGAACAGAGUAUGGCUCAGGUCCUCCAGUCAGCCAAGGAACAGAUCAAGUGGUCGCUGUUGAAAUAAAUCGGGAAUCUCCCACUCUCUCUCGUCUGCCCGUCACGUCUGACCCUCGGCUGGCGUGUGUGCCUGUCCAGUGGCCGCAGGACUUGGCCAGACAUCCCCACUUCUCCUCACAACCCAGCCGGACGUAUUCCGACUCACUCCCAACAUUAUAAUUCCCUCCCAAGUUCCGCAUCACCCCAAGCCUCCGCCGUCGGAGUAUCUUUAUUUUGGUUUGUAUUGGUAUUGGAUUAUCAAUGCCGAGCUACAGGGAGUUAUCCAGUCAAGUUGUCCCAUACAUGAGUACCAAUGAGCCACACACAACAGUGCAACAGUGCAACAGUGCAAAGGGAAAAGUACCAGAGUGCAGAAUACAGUGUUAUAUUUACAGAAAAAGUAUAAUUUUUUUUUAAAAAGUGCAACGAAUGGAAGGACCGCUCCUUAGUCUGUUAACAGCGGGGAAGAAACUGCCCCUGAAUCUGGCGGUGGGCGGUUUCGAGUUCUAGUAUCUUCUGCCUGACAAGGGGGGGGGUGGGGGAGACAGAGAACGACCAGGGUGUGAGUGGUUCUUGAUUUUGUUUCCCAAGACAGUGUGAAGUGUAGGUAGAGUUAUUUUUUUUUGGGGGGGGGAUCUGGCCUGUGUGAUGGACUGGGCUACAACCACAACUCUCCGCGAUUUCUUGCGGUCUGAGGCAGGGCAGAUGGGGGAGGGGGAGAUAGGGGGGGGGGGGGGGGAUUAAUGAUCUGAUGAUCAUCCAACCACCGAUGAGACCGGUAGCAUUGAACUCAGCUGUCUUGCAACACAGCCACAGCUGAUAGGAGGAGAGGAGGAAUUUCUUCAGUCAGAUCUGGUGACCUGUUUCGACUAAGCAUUUUGUCUCCUGUUAAUUCAUCCGAGAUAAACGCCACAAUUUAUAAGCCACCUUCUCCUUUGAGUGUUUUUGCAACCUGAUGGACUAAGCAGUUUAGAGAGAUACAGCGUGGAAACGGGCCCUUUGGCCCAUCGAGUCCACGUCAGCCAGCGAUCACCCGUUCACACUCGUUCCAUGCUAUCCCACGUUCUCAUCCACUCCCUACACACUAGGGCCAAUUAACCGACAAACCCGCACACGUCUUUGGGAUGUGGGGGGAAACCAGAGCACCCGGAGCAAACCCACGUGGUCACAUGGAGAACGUGUAAACUCCACAUAGACAGCACCCGAGAUCAGGAUCAAACUGGGGUCUCUGGCGCUGUGAGGCAGCGGUUCUACCUGCUGCACCACUGUGCCGCCCAGCCCCUGCUGGUGAGGCUGGCCCAGCCAUGCAUCGCUUUCUUGCGACUAGCCCUGGGAUACCCCUUGGCAAACUCUCUACCCUGUGUGUUCCCUGGCAGCUUAGAUACGGGAACAUCAGCGGGAACUGGAGUCUGUGUCCCUUUCUCACUGUGGCUGUCUAGUCUAGUCUCGUCUAGUCUAGCCUCAUCUCGUCUCUUCUCGGGAACUGGUGCCUAAUUAUGAUCAGGUGUCGGUGGAGCGUUGAAAUCACCAAAAUGCACCUUUUAAUUAAAGUCCAUUUUUCCAAUCCUGUUUAAA
Molecule: RNA transcript, 2314 nt
Organism: Leucoraja erinaceus (little skate)
Lineage: Eukaryota; Metazoa; Chordata; Chondrichthyes; Rajiformes; Rajidae
Gene name: coatomer subunit zeta-1-like
Exons: 10
Source: RefSeq, a predicted model, not a curated record